Molecule: microRNA, 21 nt
Filed under: Brachypodium distachyon (stiff brome)
Lineage: Eukaryota; Viridiplantae; Streptophyta; Magnoliopsida; Poales; Poaceae
Description: bdi-miR5174a
Source: miRBase by way of RNAcentral
CUCCGUUCCAUAAAGAUUGGC